AUGGAGGGAAAACAACAAUGGGACAUGGUGGACCCUGGAUUCAAGCUUUGCGCUACAGAUCUGAAGAGAGCAGCAGGUAGACCAAGGAAGAGUCGAAUCAGACCUCGCAGCGAAGGAGCUGGACUUGGAGCGAGGAAGCGUAAGUGCACAAGGUGUGGUGGGUCUGGUCAUUUCGGUAAGUAUUGUGAUAACACAGUAGAUCCAGCGUUCGGAGAGAGUUUCGAUGAAGGCUUCGAUGAAAAUGUUGGUCAGCAGCCGGUUGCCUCAACAGAUGAUGAAAAUGAUGGUCAACAGUCGGUUGCAUCAGAUGAGGAUUUUGACGAGGUUCCAAAUGAUGAUGGUCAACAGCCGCAUGAUUUUGACGAUGAUCCAAAAUAUCCUCCAAAUGAGGAUUCAAGUGAGGCUCCAAAUGGUGAUCCAAGUGAGGCUCCAAAUGGUGAUCAUGGUGAUCCAAGUGAGGCUCCAAAUGGUGAUCCAAGUGAGGUUCCAAAUGGUGACCAGCCUUCUGUUGUUGUGAGUUCUGCUAGGUAUGUAAAUCUUGCAAAUACUACUAUACAUUUAUCACUUGACAUGAUCCCAUUACCCUUUAUGUUUUGCACAGCUCUGUGGUAG
This 612-nucleotide ribosomal RNA is filed under the name Triticum aestivum (bread wheat). Its description in RNAcentral is "partial small subunit ribosomal RNA". Lineage: Eukaryota; Viridiplantae; Streptophyta; Magnoliopsida; Poales; Poaceae. The record is from RNAcentral.